This 87-nucleotide transfer RNA is filed under the name Alphaproteobacteria bacterium UBA4588. RNAcentral describes it as "tRNA-Leu(cag)". It matches the Rfam family "tRNA". Rfam says of the family: Transfer RNA (tRNA) molecules are approximately 80 nucleotides in length. Their secondary structure includes four short double-helical elements and three loops (D, anti-codon, and T loops). Further hydrogen bonds mediate the characteristic L-shaped molecular structure. tRNAs have two regions of fundamental functional importance: the anti-codon, which is responsible for specific mRNA codon recognition, and the 3' end, to which the tRNAs corresponding amino acid is attached (by aminoacyl-tRNA synthetases). tRNAs cope with the degeneracy of the genetic code in two manners: having more than one tRNA (with a specific anti-codon) for a particular amino acid; and 'wobble' base-pairing, i.e. permitting non-standard base-pairing at the 3rd anti-codon position. Lineage: Bacteria; Pseudomonadati; Pseudomonadota; Alphaproteobacteria. The record is from RNAcentral.
GCCCAGAUGGCGGAAUUGGUAGACGCGCUGGCUUCAGGUGCCAGUGACCAUUAGGUCGUGGAGGUUCGAGUCCUCUUCUGGGCACCA